RNAcentral lists this ribosomal RNA (636 nucleotides) under Pseudomonadota bacterium. RNAcentral's name for it is "bacterial SSU rRNA". It matches the Rfam family "Bacterial small subunit ribosomal RNA", at positions 28 to 655 of the family's 1533-position model. The record is from RNAcentral. Lineage: Bacteria; Pseudomonadati; Pseudomonadota.
AUUGAACGCUGGCGGAAUGCUUUACACAUGCAAGUCGAACGGCAGCACGGAGAGCUUGCUCUCUGGUGGCGAGUGGCGAACGGGUGAGUAAUAUAUCGGAACGUGUCCAAUAAUGGGGGAUAACGAGUCGAAAGAUUCGCUAAUACCGCAUACGCCCUACGGGGGAAAGCAGGGGAUCGUAAGACCUUGCGUUAAUGGAGCGGCCGAUAUCUGAUUAGCUUGUUGGUGAGGUAAAGGCUCACCAAGGCGACGAUCAGUAGCUGGUUUGAGAGAACGACCAGCCACACUGGAACUGAGACACGGUCCAGACUCCUACGGGAGGCAGCAGUGGGGAAUUUUGGACAAUGGGGGCAACCCUGAUCCAGCCAUUCCGCGUGAGUGAAGAAGGCCUUCGGGUUGUAAAGCUCUUUCGCAAGGGAAGAAAACUUAUGAUCGAAUAAAUCAUGAGGUUGACGGUACCUUGAUAAGAAGCACCGGCUAACUACGUGCCAGCAGCCGCGGUAAUACGUAGGGUGCGAGCGUUAAUCGGAAUUACUGGGCGUAAAGCGUGCGCAGGCGGUUUUGUAAGUCGGAUGUGAAAUCCCCGGGCUCAACCUGGGAACUGCGUUCGAAACUGCAAGGCUAGAGUGUGUCAGA